Molecule: non-coding RNA, 72 nt
Organism: Schistocerca cancellata (South American locust)
Lineage: Eukaryota; Metazoa; Arthropoda; Insecta; Orthoptera; Acrididae
Source: the annotation of a RefSeq genome assembly
GCCAAGGUGGCUUAGUGGAUAAUGCACCUGCCUAGUAAGCUGGAGGCCCAGGUUCGAUUCCUGGCUUCGGUA